UAUAGACCCAUAUCUACUAUAUAGGUAGUAACAAAAUAUACAGAAUUCCUAUUAAGUCAGUAGGGACUUUUCAAAAAGUGCCCAUAUAUGCCAAGUGACCUUAUAAGUAGACGACCACAUAAGAAAUCUGACUGUAUAAUGACAGAAAUAAACAAUGGGGAAUUUGAAACAUCUGUAUACGGAAAAUACACAUAUGACCCCAUCUUUAUAUUUAAUGACUUGGAUGAAUCUUGGACCCAUAAAAUUGCAGCAUUCAGAACAUUAUUAAAAUGUAUAGACAUUCACUGUAUCACAGAAUUGAAAAAAUGUUAAUAAUAUGAGUGAAUAGUACAGCAGGCAAAAUACAUGGACACAAUAGGAGAAUGAUAAACAAUUUACAGAAGAGAAUUAAAAACAAAGAUAGAAAUACUAAUGUGAUGACUUCUAUAGUAAGACUAGAAAACAAAACUAAAUACAGUGCCUGCUGCUUUAUGCAAUCAAAUCCUUAGGAAUGGAUUCAAAUCAAUGCAAUACAACUGAAAAAUUGCC
This 528-nucleotide long non-coding RNA is filed under the name Androctonus crassicauda. Lineage: Eukaryota; Metazoa; Arthropoda; Arachnida; Scorpiones; Buthidae. The record is from RNAcentral.